GACGAACGCUGGCGGCGUGCUUAACACAUGCAAGUCGAACGGUGAACGCGGGCUCUUGCUCCCUCCGGCACAGUGGCGCACGGGAGUGUAACACGAGUACAAUCUGCUCCGAAUUCUGGGAUAUUCGUUGGACACGACGUCUAAUACCGGAUACGAUGCUGCUGCGCGUUCUUUCCUCGUGGAAAGCACUUGGGUUGGGGAUGAGCUCGCGGUCUAUCAGCUUUUUGGUGAGGUUACGGCUCACCAAGGCGACGACGGGUAGCCGGCCUGAGAGGGUGACCGGCCACACUGGGACUGAGACACGGCCCAGACUCCUACGGGAGGCAGCAGUGGGGAAUAUUGCACAAUGGGCGCAAGCCUGAUGCAGCAACGCCGCGUGCGGGACGACGGCCUUCGGGUUGUAAACCUCUUUUGGCAGGGAAGAAGCGAAAGUGGCGGUACCUGCAGAAAAAGCACCGGCUAACUACGUG
Molecule: ribosomal RNA, 470 nt
Filed under: uncultured bacterium
Lineage: Bacteria
Description: partial 16S ribosomal RNA
Rfam family: Bacterial small subunit ribosomal RNA
Source: RNAcentral